CCUACGGGCGGCAGCAGUGGGGAAUAUUGGACAAUGGGCGAAAGCCUGAUCCAGCCAUGCCGCGUGUGUGAAGAAGGCCUUCGGGUUGUAAAGCACUUUCAGUGGGGAAGAAAGCCUUGGGUCUAAUACCCUCGAGGAAGGACAUCACCCACAGAAGAAGCACCGGCUAACUCCGUGCCAGCAGCCGCGGUAAUACGGAGGGUGCGAGCGUUAAUCGGAAUUACUGGGCGUAAAGCGCGCGUAGGCGGUCUGAUAAGCCGGUUGUGAAAGCCCCGGGCUCAACCUGGGAACGGCAUCCGGAACUGUCAGGCUAGAGUGCAGGAGAGGAAGGUAGAAUUCCCGGUGUAGCGGUGAAAUGCGUAGAGAUCGGGAGGAAUACCAGUGGCGAAGGCGGCCUUCUGGACUGACACUGACGCUGAGGUGCGAAAGCGUGGGUAGCAAACAGGAUUAGAUACCCUGGUAGUC
RNAcentral lists this ribosomal RNA (465 nucleotides) under Vreelandella stevensii. RNAcentral's name for it is "partial 16S ribosomal RNA". It matches the Rfam family "Bacterial small subunit ribosomal RNA", at positions 338 to 795 of the family's 1533-position model. The record is from RNAcentral. Lineage: Bacteria; Pseudomonadati; Pseudomonadota; Gammaproteobacteria; Oceanospirillales; Halomonadaceae.